Molecule: ribosomal RNA, 415 nt
Filed under: uncultured bacterium
Lineage: Bacteria
Description: bacterial SSU rRNA
Rfam family: Bacterial small subunit ribosomal RNA
Source: RNAcentral
UGGGGAAUAUUGGACAAUGGGCGAAAGCCUGAUCCAGCAAUGCCGCGUGAGUGAUGAAGGCCUUAGGGUUGUAAAGCUCUUUUACCAGGGAUGCAGUACCUGGAGAAUAAGCUCCGGCUAACUCCGUGCCAGCAGCCGCGGUAAUACGGAGGGAGCUAGCGUUGUUCGGAAUUACUGGGCGUAAAGCGCGCGUAGGCGGCUACUCAAGUCAGAGGUGAAAGCCCGGGGCUCAACCCCGGAACUGCCUUUGAAACUAGGUAGCUAGAAUCUUGGAGAGGUCAGUGGAAUUCCGAGUGUAGAGGUGAAAUUCGUAGAUAUUCGGAAGAACACCAGUGGCGAAGGCGACUGACUGGACAAGCAUUGACGCUGAGGUGCGAAAGCGUGGGGAGCAAACAGGAUUAGAUACCCGGGUAGU